AUCAAACACACCUGAGGUAGUGAGGUCACCACCACGUGCACCGUCCAUUCUCACAUCGAGAUGAUUCAGCCACCACGGUAACCACGCGCUCCAGCCACUCACUCCCUCAGCUCAAGAAUACACCAACAUCCCGAACUGCAGGCAACAGGCGGGUGGAGAGAUCGGGGAGCCAGCUUGGAGAGCGGAGAGCGCACACCACCAGCGCAGUCGAGACUAAAACGGAAAUAACGAAUUAACUACCAAGGGGAUUGUCAUUUCCUUAACAUCCUUUCAAUCGUUAAUGACACAUCGUUAAAGGAGGCAAAACGAAAAACACAACAGAGAUUGAUUUAUUAUCCAUAGUUUACCGUUCCAGCGCGUGGAAAGAUGAAGACUAAAAACCUUGAGCAAAGCUUGUCUGAUUCCAGAGAAUUGGAUGGAUCGUAUGACCAGCUGACUGGUGGAAUGAAGAGGAAAUUGGUGGCUCUGGCCAAACACAAAGACCUUAUGCCUUGGGUGAAGAGUAUAUGCAUUCAUCUGUGGUGGAUUUGUAGCUCAUGUGGAGGAGAUGGAGGUAAAUACAUACAUCAAUAGUGUAACUGUAGAAAAACAACCCCACCCAUGUCUCACUCCCCUCAGUUGGUCUCAGACCACGUUGAAGUGUUUGUGACAGGUCUAGGGACAUAAAUCUGCCCUGUCUAUCAGGAGCCAACAACUGAGAUGAGAGUGAGAGUCCCAACUCUUUCACCACUUAAUUCCCCAGAACAGUGUGCAGAUAUCAGC
This 762-nucleotide long non-coding RNA is filed under the name Oncorhynchus mykiss (rainbow trout). RNAcentral's name for it is "lncRNA (ENSOMYG00000042300.2)". The record is from RNAcentral. Lineage: Eukaryota; Metazoa; Chordata; Actinopteri; Salmoniformes; Salmonidae.